This 422-nucleotide ribosomal RNA is filed under the name uncultured bacterium. RNAcentral describes it as "bacterial SSU rRNA". It matches the Rfam family "Bacterial small subunit ribosomal RNA", at positions 355 to 774 of the family's 1533-position model. The record is from RNAcentral.
UGAGGAAUAUUGGUCAAUGGCGGCAACUCUGAACCAGCCAAGUCGCGUGAAGGAUGAAGGUCUUAUGGAUUGUAAACUUCUUUUGCAAGGGAAUAAAGUGGGGGACGUGUCCUCCUUUGCAUGUACCUUGCGAAUAAGGAUCGGCUAACUCCGUGCCAGCAGCCGCGGUAAUACGGAGGAUCCGAGCGUUAUCCGGAUUUAUUGGGUUUAAAGGGUGCGCAGGCGGGAUGUUAAGUCGGCGGUGAAAUUUUGCAGCUCAACUGUAAAAGUGCCUUCGAUACUGGCUUUCUUGAGUGUGGAUGAAGUAGGCGGAAUUUGUGGUGUAGCGGUGAAAUGCUUAGAUAUCACGAGGAACUCCGAUUGCGCAGGCAGCUUACUAAACCACUACUGACGCUCAUGCACGAAGGCGUGGGGAUCAAACA